This is a small nuclear RNA of Carcharodon carcharias (great white shark), 182 nucleotides long. RefSeq annotates it as U4atac minor spliceosomal RNA. The record is from RefSeq and is a predicted model, not a curated record. Lineage: Eukaryota; Metazoa; Chordata; Chondrichthyes; Lamniformes; Lamnidae. The transcript has a single exon.
GUUAUCCUUAUCUUGGGGUUGUGUGGCUGUUCAAUGAAUGUGUGGUGAGAACAGCACUGCUAACACCAUUACAACACUUGUGUACAGGACAUACCUGGGCAAUUUUCUACAUAGCCGGGUAGAUGCCAGUGUUGUUGCUGUACUGGGACAGCUUGGCUAGAGGUGCAGCAAGUUCUGGAGCA